This 253-nucleotide ribosomal RNA is filed under the name uncultured bacterium. RNAcentral describes it as "partial 16S ribosomal RNA". It matches the Rfam family "Bacterial small subunit ribosomal RNA", at positions 524 to 776 of the family's 1533-position model. The record is from RNAcentral.
GACGUAGGGCGCGAGCGUUGUCCGGAUUUAUUGGGCGUAAAGCGCUCGUAGGCGGCUUGUCGCGUCGUCCGUGAAAACCCACAGCUCAACUGUGGGCUUGCGGUCGAUACGGGCAGGCUAGAGUUCGGUAGGGGAGACUGGAAUUCCUGGUGUAGCGGUGAAAUGCGCAGAUAUCAGGAGGAACACCGGUGGCGAAGGCGGGUCUCUGGGCAGUAACUGACGCUGAGGAGCGAAAGCGUGGGGAGCGAACAGG